GUAUCGCGCUAGGUCCAGUCCCGUGUAAGCCGGGACCAGUGGGAGAGAAUGAGUUCUCCCACUGCGACGCUCUAAGGAUACUA
This 83-nucleotide ribozyme is filed under the name unclassified sequences. Its description in RNAcentral is "Twister_sister_ribozyme". It matches the Rfam family "Twister_sister_ribozyme". The record is from Rfam by way of RNAcentral.